Molecule: ribosomal RNA, 253 nt
Filed under: uncultured bacterium
Lineage: Bacteria
Description: partial 16S ribosomal RNA
Rfam family: Bacterial small subunit ribosomal RNA
Source: RNAcentral
UACAGAGGUGCCGAGCGUUAGGCGGAAUCACUGGGCUUAAAGCGUGUGUAGGCGGAUGCCUAAGUACCUUGUGAAAUCCCACGGCUUAACCGUGGAACUGCUCGGUAUACUGGGUGUCUUGAGCCACUUAGGGGCUACCGGAACAAAUGGUGGAGCGGUGAAAUGCGUAGAUAUCAGGAGGAACACCUGUGGCGAAAGCGGCUCACUGGACCAUAACUGACGCUGAUGCACGAAAGCUAGGGGAGCAAACAGG